GACAGUCAGAGCGAUUACUAGGAGCUUGCUCCUGGUAGUUAGCGGCGGACGGGUGAGUAACACGUGGGCAACCUGCCUGUAAGACUGGGAUAACUUCGGGAAACCGGAGCUAAUACCGGAUAAUCUUUUUCCUCUCAUGAGGGAAAACUGAAAGUCGGUUUCGGCUGACACUUACAGAUGGGCCCGCGGCGCAUUAGCUAGUUGGUGAGGUAACGGCUCACCAAGGCGACGAUGCGUAGCCGACCUGAGAGGGUGAUCGGCCACACUGGGACUGAGACACGGCCCAGACUCCUACGGGAGGCAGCAGUAGGGAAUCUUCCACAAUGGACGAAAGUCUGAUGGAGCAACGCCGCGUGAACGAUGAAGGCCUUCGGGUCGUAAAGCUCUGUUGUUAGGGAAGAACAAGUAUCGGAGUAACUGCCGGUACCUUGACGGUACCUAACCAGAAAGCCACGGCUAACUACGUGCCAGCAGCCGCGGUAAUACGUAGGUGGCAAGCGUUGUCCGGAAUUAUUGGGCGUAAAGCGCGCGCAGGCGGUCCUUUAAGUCUGAUGUGAAAGCCCACGGCUCAACCGUGGAGGGUCAUUGGAAACUGGGGGACUUGAGUGCAGAAGAGGAAAGCGGAAUUCCACGUGUAGCGGUGAAAUGCGUAGAGAUGUGGAGGAACACCAGUGGCGAAAGCGGCUUUCUGGUCUGUAACUGACGCUGACGCGCGAAAGC
RNAcentral lists this ribosomal RNA (720 nucleotides) under Bacillus sp. (in: firmicutes). RNAcentral describes it as "bacterial SSU rRNA". It matches the Rfam family "Bacterial small subunit ribosomal RNA", at positions 57 to 760 of the family's 1533-position model. Lineage: Bacteria; Bacillati; Bacillota; Bacilli; Caryophanales; Bacillaceae. The record is from RNAcentral.